CCCCUAGUAACGGCGAGUGAAGAGGGAAAAGCUCAAAUUUUGAAUCCGACGUCUUCGGCGUCCGAGUUGUAAUCUAGAGAAGUGUUUUCCGUGUCGGACCGUGCACAAGUUCCCUGGAACGGGGCGUCAUAGAGGGUGAGAAUCCCGUACGUGGCACGGACUCCCGGUGCUCUGCGAUACACUCUCAACGAGUCGAGUUGUUUGGGAAUGCAGCUCAAAAUGGGUGGUAAAUUCCAUCUAAAGCUAAAUAUUGGCGAGAGACCGAUAGCGAACAAGUACCGUGAGGGAAAGAUGAAAAGCACUUUGGAAAGAGAGUGAAACAGUACGUGAAAUUGUUGAAAGGGAAGCGUUUGAAGUCAGUCGCGUCUGUCGGGGUUCAGCCUGGCUUCUGCCUGGUGUAUUCCCUGUCCGACGGGUCAGCAUCAGUUUCCGCCGAGAGAGAAAGGCUUGGGGAAUGUGGCCAUCUUCGGGUGGUGUUAUAGCCCUCUGUCAUAUGUCUCGGUGGGGACUGAGGACUGCAGCGCGCCUUACGGCCGGGGUUCGCUCCCUCGGUACGCGCUUAGGAUGCUGGCAUAAUGGCUUUAAGCGACCCGUCUUGAAACACGGACCAAGGAGUCUAACAUGUGCGCGAGUGUUUGGGUGUCAAACCCGAGCGCGUAAUGAAAGUGAAAGGUCGGGAUCACGUACGUGUGCACCGACGCCCGGAGCAGACCUACUGUGACGCAUCUGCGGUGGAGCGUAUAUGUUGGGACCCGAAAGAUGGUGAACUAUGCCUGAAUAGGGUGAAGCCAGAGGAAACUCUGGUGGAGGCUCGUAGCGAUUCUGACGUGCAAAUCGAUCGUCAAAUUUGGGUAUAGGGGCGAAAGACUAAUCGAACCAUCUAGUAGCUGG
Molecule: ribosomal RNA, 891 nt
Filed under: Sebacinales sp. 316 MV-2016
Lineage: Eukaryota; Fungi; Basidiomycota; Agaricomycetes; Sebacinales
Also listed under: 2 other names
Description: eukaryotic LSU rRNA
Rfam family: Eukaryotic large subunit ribosomal RNA
Source: RNAcentral